GUUUGAUCCCGGCUCAGAAUCAACGCUGGCGGCGCGCUUAACACAUGCAAGUCGAACGAGAAAGGGGAGCAAUCCCUGAGUAAAGUGGCGUACGGGUGAGUAACACGUGGAUUAUCUACCUUUUAGUGGGGAAUACCGUUGGGAAACCGACGACAAUACCGCAUAAUCCCGAGAGGGGAAAGCAGCAAUGCGCUGAAAGAGGAGUCCGCGGUCGAUUAGCUAGUUGGUAGGGUAAAAGCCUACCAAGGCUGUGAUCGAUAGCCGGCCUGAGAGGGCACACGGCCACACUGGCACUGAAACACGGGCCAGACUCCUACGGGAGGCAGCAGUGGGGAAUCUUGCACAAUGGGGGAAACCCUAUGCAGCGACGCCGCGUGAGCGAUGAAGCCCUUCGGGGUGUAAAGCUCUUUCGGCAGGGACGAUAAUGACGGUACCUGCAGAAGCAGCUGCGGCUAACUACGUGCCAGCAGCCGCGGUAAUACGUAGGCAGCAAGCGUUGUUCGGAGUUACUGGGCGUAAAGGGUGCGUAGGCGGUCCUAUAAGUAUGGUGUGAAAUCUCCCGGCUUAACUGGGAGGGUGCGCUAUAGACUGUGGGACUAGAGUGUGGGAGAGGAAAGUGGAAUUCCUGGUGUAGCGGUGAAAUGCGUAGAUAUCAGGAGGAACACCGGCGAUGUAAACGGCUUUCUGGACCAUAACUGACGCUGAGGCACGAAAGCGUGGGUAGCAAACAGGAUUAGAUACCCUGGUAGUCCACGCCCUAAACGAUGCAUAUUUGGUGUGGGUCAUUCAGUUGAUCCGUGCCGGAGCUAACGCGUUAAAUAUGCCGCCUGGGGAGUACAGUCGCAAGGCUGAAACUCAAAGGAAUUGACGGGGGCCCGCACAAGCGGUGGAGCAUGUGGUUUAAUUCGACGCAACGCGAAGAACCUUACCUGGGCUCGAAAUGCUAUGGACCAGCUGAUGAAAGUCGGCCUUCCCGCAAGGGACCGUAGUAUAGGUGCUGCAUGGCUGUCGUCAGCUCGUGUCGUGAGAUGUUGGGUUAAGUCCCGCAACGAGCGCAACCCUUGUCCUGUGUUGCCAUACCGAAAGGUGGAACUCGCAGGAGACCGCCAGGGAUAACCUGGAGGAAGGUGGGGAUGACGUCAAGUCCUCAUGGCCUUUAUGUCCAGGGCUACACACGUGCUACAAUGGACGGUACAAAGGGCUGCCAACCCGCGAGGGGGAGCCAAUCCC
Molecule: ribosomal RNA, 1230 nt
Filed under: metagenome
Description: bacterial SSU rRNA
Rfam family: Bacterial small subunit ribosomal RNA
Source: RNAcentral